UCCUAGCCCGGAUAGAAACGGCAUCCUUUUUUCCAGCGGGCGGAGUGCAACGGAGACCGCUGGAAAAAAGAUACAGUGGAUAGCCGGAAUUAGC
This 94-nucleotide small RNA is filed under the name Chryseobacterium aquaeductus. RNAcentral's name for it is "Flavo-1 RNA". It matches the Rfam family "Flavo-1 RNA". Lineage: Bacteria; Pseudomonadati; Bacteroidota; Flavobacteriia; Flavobacteriales; Weeksellaceae. The record is from Rfam by way of RNAcentral.